This is a transfer RNA of Camelus ferus (Wild Bactrian camel), 72 nucleotides long. It matches the Rfam family "tRNA". From Rfam's summary of the family: Transfer RNA (tRNA) molecules are approximately 80 nucleotides in length. The record is from Rfam. Lineage: Eukaryota; Metazoa; Chordata; Mammalia; Artiodactyla; Camelidae.
GAGGGUAUAGCUCAGUGGUAGAGUUUGUGCUUAGCAUGCAGGAGGUUCUGGGUUCAAUCCCCAGUACCUCCA